UGGGGAAUUUUGGACAAUGGGCGAAAGCCUGAUCCAGCCAUGCCGCGUGAGUGAAGAAGGCCUUCGGGUUGUAAAGCUCUUUUAGUCGGAAAGAAAGAGUUGCAAUGAAUAAUUGUGAUUUAUGACGGUACCGACAGAAAAAGCACCGGCUAACUACGUGCCAGCAGCCGCGGUAAUACGUAGGGUGCGAGCGUUAAUCGGAAUUACUGGGCGUAAAGGGUGCGCAGGCGGUCUUGCAAGUCAGAUGUGAAAGCCCCGGGCUUAACCUGGGAAUUGCGUUUGAAGCUACAAGACUAGAGUGCAGCAGAGGGGAGUGGAAUUCCAUGUGUAGCAGUGAAAUGCGUGGAGAUGUGGAAGAACACCGAUGGCGAAGGCAGCUCCCUGGGUUGACACUGACGCUCAUGCACGAAAGCGUGGGGAGCAAACA
This 427-nucleotide ribosomal RNA is filed under the name uncultured bacterium. RNAcentral's name for it is "bacterial SSU rRNA". It matches the Rfam family "Bacterial small subunit ribosomal RNA", at positions 355 to 774 of the family's 1533-position model. The record is from RNAcentral.